UCUUUUGGUUUCCCGACUACCCCAAGGGAGCAAGGAUUAAGAUCACGGGUAUUAACUUCAGAAUUGUAAAUAGGUUUUUUGUUUCACGACUACCCCAAGGGAGCCAAGGAUUAAGAUCACGGGUAUUAAUUCAUUAUUGUAAAUAGGUUUUAUGGUUUCACGACUACCCCAAGGGAGCCAAGGAUUAGGAUCACGGGUAUUAACUUCAGAAUUGUAAAUAGGUCUUUUGGUUUCCGACUACCCAAGGGAGCCAAGGAUUAGGAUCACGGGUAUUAACUUCAGAAUUGUAAAUAGGUUUUUGAUUUCACGACUACCCCAAGGGAGCCAAGGAUUAAGAUCACGGGUAUUAACUUCAUUAUUGUAAAUAGGUUUUAUGGUUUCAGCGACUACCCAAGGAGCCAAGGAUUAGGAUCACGGUAUUAACUUCAGAAUUGUAAAUGGUCUUUUGGUUUCCCGACUACCCAAGGGAGCAAGGAUUAGAUCACGGUAUUAACUUCAGAAUUGUAAAUAGGUUUUUGAUUUCACGACUACCCCAAGG
Molecule: long non-coding RNA, 538 nt
Filed under: Lathyrus oleraceus (garden pea)
Lineage: Eukaryota; Viridiplantae; Streptophyta; Magnoliopsida; Fabales; Fabaceae
Description: Pisum sativum (pea) long non-coding RNA (PSAT_LNC033763)
Source: RNAcentral